GCAGGGUUUUGGAAAUCUUCACACACACAGAAAAGGCAAUUCAGCGUUUUUCUUGGCAAGUUUGCCUUGCAGGAUGCCAAGUGCAAGAUGGCUCAGCACAAAAGCUGCUGUUCAUCCUCCCCACAUUCCUGCUGUCCACGCCUCCCUCCUGCCUGGAGACAACGGGGACAUUUGAGGAUGCUUCAGAGUGCUCCAGUGCAGAGAGGCAACCCUGAGAUCACCCAGUGAGCACAAGGAACUGGAGCAGUGAGAACUCGGGAGAGAAGGGGGGCAAGAAGAAGAUAAAACACCAAGAAAGGAAGGUGAAAUAACCACACGCAGAAUUAACAUCGAAUAAAGGCACAAGGCAGCCAGAAGAAAAAGAGCAAGGAAACAGCAACUAAAGGAUAUUACAAGCAAAGGAAUUUGGGAAGGUUUUCCUUCUUUUCCUUCUGGUUUUUGUUUUGUUUUGUUUUUUUUUUUUUUAAACCU
Lepidothrix coronata (blue-crowned manakin) is the source of this 471-nucleotide long non-coding RNA. RefSeq lists it as uncharacterized. The transcript is spliced from 3 exons. NCBI's taxonomy places the organism in Eukaryota, Metazoa, Chordata, Aves, Passeriformes, Pipridae. The record is from RefSeq and is a predicted model, not a curated record.